This 252-nucleotide ribosomal RNA is filed under the name uncultured bacterium. RNAcentral describes it as "partial 16S ribosomal RNA". It matches the Rfam family "Bacterial small subunit ribosomal RNA", at positions 525 to 776 of the family's 1533-position model. The record is from RNAcentral.
ACGGAGGGUGCAAGCGUUAAUCGGAAUUACUGGGCGUAAAGCGCGCGUAGGCGGCUUCGUCAGUUGGGUGUGAAAGCCCCGGGCUUAACCUGGGAACUGCAUUCAAUACUGCGAGGCUAGAGUAUGGGAGAGGGUUGUGGAAUUCCACGUGUAGCGGUGAAAUGCGUAGAUAUGUGGAGGAACAUCAGUGGCGAAGGCGGCAGCCUGGCCCAAUACUGACGCUGAGGUGCGAAAGCGUGGGGAUCAAACAGG